Molecule: ribosomal RNA, 526 nt
Filed under: uncultured Bacteroidota bacterium
Lineage: Bacteria; Pseudomonadati; Bacteroidota
Description: SSU rRNA
Rfam family: Bacterial small subunit ribosomal RNA
Source: RNAcentral
CUAGUUGGUAAGGUAACGGCUUACCAAGGCAACGAUGGGUAGGGGUCCUGAGAGGGAGAUCCCCCACACUGGUACUGAGACACGGACCAGACUCCUACGGGAGGCAGCAGUGAGGAAUAUUGGUCAAUGGGCGCAAGCCUGAACCAGCCAUGCCGCGUGCAGGAUGACGGUCCUAUGGAUUGUAAACUGCUUUUGUACGAGAAGAAACACUCCUUCGUGAAGGAGCUUGACGGUAUCGUAAGAAUAAGGAUCGGCUAACUCCGUGCCAGCAGCCGCGGUAAUACGGAGGAUCCAAGCGUUAUCCGGAAUCAUUGGGUUUAAAGGGUCCGUAGGCGGUUUUGUAAGUCAGUGGUGAAAGCCCAUCGCUCAACGGUGGAACGGCCAUUGAUACUGCAAGACUUGAAUUAUUAGAAGUAACUAGAAUAUGUAGUGUAGCGGUGAAAUGCUUAGAUAUUACAUGGAAUACCAAUUGCGAAAGCAGGUUACUACUAAUAUAUUGACGCUGAUGGACGAAAGCGUGGGGGAG